RNAcentral lists this ribosomal RNA (1449 nucleotides) under metagenome. RNAcentral's name for it is "bacterial SSU rRNA". It matches the Rfam family "Archaeal small subunit ribosomal RNA". The record is from RNAcentral.
UCCAGCUGAUCCUGCUGGCGGAUACUGCUCUCGAUAUCCGAUUUAGCCAUGCAAGUCGAAAAGGUACACCUGUGUGCCUUUGGCGAACGGCUCAGUAACGCGUGGUCAAUCUACCUUUCGGAAGAGUUAAUCCCGGGAAACUGGGGAUAAUGCUCUAUAGGUAAUUGGUACUGGAAGGUCCUUUUACUCAAAUGAAAAGCAGCUUGGUGUCUAUCGCCGAAAGAUGAGACUACGUCGGAUUAGGUUGUUGGCGGGGUAACUGCCCACCAAGCCUAAGUUCCGUACGGGCCUUGAAAGAGGUAGCCCGGAGAAGGGAACUGAGAUAAGGUCCCUAGCCCUACGGGGUGCAGCAGGCGCGGAACCUUUACAAUGCGCGCAAGCGUGAUAGGGGGAUGUCGAGUGCUACUUGUAGCUUUUGCAGAGUGUAGAUAGCUCUGCGAAUAAAGGGAGGGUAAGAUGCGUGCCAGCCGCCGCGGUAAUACGUACUCCCUAAGUGGUAUCCACUAAUAUUGGGCCUAAAGCGUUCGUAGCCGGUUCAGUAAGUCUCUGGUGAAAUCUGACAGCUUAACUGUUAGAAUUGCUGGAGAUACUGCUAGACUCGAGGCCGGGAGACGUGAAGGGAAUUUCUGAGGUAGGAGUGAAACCCUGUGAUCUCAGAAGGACCACCAGUAGCGAAGGCGCUUCACGAGAACGGACCUGACGGUGAGGAACGAAGGCUGGGGGAGCAACCCGGAUUAGAUACCCGGUUAGUCCCAGCAGUAAACGAUGUGAACUAGGUGUCCUAGCACCUAUAUGGUGUGGGGGUGCCGAAGGGAAGCCGUUAAGUUCACCGCCUGGGAAGUACAGUCGCAAGGCUGAAACUUAAUGGAAUUGGCGGGGGCGCACUACAAGGGGUGGAGGCUGCGGUUUAAUUGGAUAUAACGCCAGACAUCUCACCAGGAGCGACAGCAGAAUGAUGGACAGCCUGAAGGGCUUUCUUGACGCGCUGAGAGGUGUUGUAUGGUCAUCGUCAGCUCGUACUACGAAGCGUCCUGUCAACUCAGGCAACGGGCGAGACCCACAUCCUUAGUUGCUAUUUUUCUCUCCGGAGGAGGAGCACUCUAGGGAAACUGCAAGGGCAACCUUGAGGAAGGAGUGGGCAACGGUAGAUCUGUAUGGCCCGAAUCUCCUGGGCUACACGCGGCCUACAAUGGCUAAGACAAUGGGUCCCUACUCCGAAAGGAUCAGGUAAUCUCUUAAACUUAGUCUUGGUUCGGAUCGAGGGUUGGAACUCACCCUCGUGAACGAUUGGAAUCCCCAGUAAUCGCGUGUCACUAUCGCGCGGUGAAUAAGUCCCUGCGCCUUGCACACACCGCCCAUCAAGCCAGCUGAAUGAGGUGUGGAUGAGCCUUAUCCAUUAGGGUAAGUCGAUUCUAUGUCUUGUAAGGCGGGCUAAGUUGUAACAAGGUG